This 75-nucleotide transfer RNA is filed under the name Canis lupus familiaris (dog). It matches the Rfam family "tRNA". From Rfam's summary of the family: Transfer RNA (tRNA) molecules are approximately 80 nucleotides in length. Their secondary structure includes four short double-helical elements and three loops (D, anti-codon, and T loops). The record is from Rfam by way of RNAcentral. RNAcentral also lists the same sequence under 1 other name. Lineage: Eukaryota; Metazoa; Chordata; Mammalia; Carnivora; Canidae.
ACCUGGGUGGCUCAGUGGUUGAGCAUCUGACUUUAGCUCUGGUCGUGAUCUUGGGAUCGAGUCCCACAUCAGGCU